This 442-nucleotide unclassified non-coding RNA is filed under the name Senegalia schweinfurthii. RNAcentral describes it as "partial external transcribed spacer". Lineage: Eukaryota; Viridiplantae; Streptophyta; Magnoliopsida; Fabales; Fabaceae. The record is from RNAcentral.
UGGUGUUUGGAUCGUCGCUGCCGGCUGGCUCCGUGCUCGCCCACCGAACUGUCGGCGCUCGAUCCUCCUCGGUUGUGCCUCGGGGCGGUAUGGUUCCCUCAGAGGCCGGUUCUUGUGCUGCCUACCCUUCGAGGGAAGAAGGCCAGGCCACACGACGUUCGCCCUCCACCCGGCGCCCCCGAAAGGGCGCCGGGGGACAACGGUGCGCCCCCCGUGUUCCACCGAUCCCCCGCCGGUCGCGUGGCGCCCGGGGACGCGCAGCGCUCUCGGACCCAGCGCACGCCGAGGACGAGGACUCACGUCCGAGUCCCCGAAAGAGAAGCCCCGACCCAACGAGCGACGGCCGCGCCCGUCCCCCGGCCGCCCAGGCGGCGCGCGGGGCGCGCGGCGUCCCAUGAGGAGUGCUACCUGGUUGAUCCUGCCAGUAGUCAUAUGCUUGUCU